UACGGGGGGGGCAAGCGUUGUUCGGAAUUACUGGGCGUAAAGGGCCAGUAGGCGGCCAACUAAGUCGGAUGUGAAAUCCCCAGGCUCAACUUGGGAACUGCAUCCGAUACUGGAUGGCUUGAAUUCGGGAGAGGGAUGCAGAAUUCCAGGUGUAGCGGUGAAAUGCGUAGAUAUCUGGAGGAACACCGGUGGUGUAGACGGCUUUCUGGACCGUAACUGACGCUGAGACACGAAAGCGUGGGUAGCAAACAGG
Molecule: ribosomal RNA, 253 nt
Filed under: uncultured bacterium
Lineage: Bacteria
Description: partial 16S ribosomal RNA
Rfam family: Bacterial small subunit ribosomal RNA
Source: RNAcentral